RNAcentral lists this ribosomal RNA (305 nucleotides) under uncultured bacterium. RNAcentral's name for it is "bacterial SSU rRNA". It matches the Rfam family "Bacterial small subunit ribosomal RNA", at positions 338 to 640 of the family's 1533-position model. The record is from RNAcentral.
CCUACGGGACGCAGCAGUGAGGAAUAUUGGUCAAUGGACGAGAGUCUGAACCAGCCAAGUAGCGUGAAGGAUGACUGCCCUAUGGGUUGUAAACUUCUUUUAUAAAGGAAUAAAACGAGGCACGUGUGCCUUUUUGCAUGUACUUUAUGAAUAAGGAUCGGCUAACUCCGUGCCAGCAGCCGCGGUAAUACGGAGGAUCCGAGCGUUAUCCGGAUUUAUUGGGUUUAAAGGGAGCGUAGGCCGGUCUUUAAGCGUGCCGUGAAAUUUUGUGGCCCAACCAUGAGAGUGCGGCGCGAACUGGAGAC